RNAcentral lists this ribosomal RNA (468 nucleotides) under uncultured bacterium. RNAcentral describes it as "partial 16S ribosomal RNA". It matches the Rfam family "Bacterial small subunit ribosomal RNA", at positions 28 to 507 of the family's 1533-position model. The record is from RNAcentral.
GACGAACGCUGGCGGCGUGCUUAACACAUGCGAGUCGAACGGAAAGGCCCUGCUUUUGUGGGGUGCUCGAGUGGCGAACGGGUGAGUAACACGUGAGUAACCUGCCCUUGACUUUGGGAUAACUUCAGGAAACUGGGGCUAAUACCGGAUAGGAGCUCCUGCUGCAUGGUGGGGGGUGGAAAGUUUCGGCGGUUGGGGAUGGACUCGCGGCUUAUCAGCUUGUUGGUGAGGUAGUGGCUUACCAAGGCUUUGACGGGUAGCCGGACUGAGAGGGUGACCGGCCACAUUGGGACUGAGAUACGGCCCAGACUCCUACGGGAGGCAGCAGUGGGGAAUAUUGCACAAUGGGCGGAAGCCUGAUGCAGCAACGCCGCGUGCGGGAUGACGGCCUUCGGGUUGUAAACCGCUUUCGCCUGUGACGAAGCGUGAGUGACGGUAAUGGGUAAAGAAGCACCGGCUAACUACGUG